RNAcentral lists this long non-coding RNA (605 nucleotides) under Bos taurus (domestic cattle). RNAcentral describes it as "long non-coding RNA NONBTAT016961". The record is from RNAcentral. Lineage: Eukaryota; Metazoa; Chordata; Mammalia; Artiodactyla; Bovidae.
AGUAUAUUACAUUCUAUUAAAUUAGAUACAAAUGCAUAGUUCCUGAGUUACAUACAACUUGGGUUACACACAUCAUGCCCAAAUAGAUACAGCAAUAAAGCACCAAGAGUAGAACAGAAGCAUUUCAUUAUACAACGCUACUUUUAUUUGCCGAAUACCGUGAGCGUUACUGUUCAUAACUGAUGUUAACCUUUGCAAAAUUUAUGUAAUUAUCAUUAUUAUUAACAGCAUUCACAUUAUUGACUGACCCAAGGCAGCCGAGUAACUUCAGGAAAAUAUUGUUUGGCCUUUUUAUCGAAGUGGAAGCUCAGUAAUAAUGGCCAUACUCAUUCACAUAUGCCAGCAAAAUUAGAAGAAAGGUAAGCAACAGGUAGUAAAACAGCAUAUACUGGCCACAUUACAGAGAGUCUCUGGUAGUACUGAAAAUAGGAUUGAUGCAUAGGUAGUUAAAAACCUCCCCCAAAACAUAUUUUGGCUUCUUUUUUGAAGAGGCCAUUCAGCAGUAAUGGACAGAGCCAUUUAUCUAUGGAAAUGGGAGAAGGGGUAUGUGGCUAGUAUUUUAAAUUUGCCAAAUGUAUUUGCAUAUAUACACAGUGAUGUACCAC